CGUGUAGGCGGCCUGCCAAGUCGGGUGUGAAAGCCCUCGGCUCAACCGAGGAAUUGCACCCGAUACUGGCGGGCUAGAGUCCGGGAGGGGGUAGCGGAAUUCCCAGUGUAGCGGUGAAAUGCGUAGAUAUUGGGAAGAACACCAGUGGCGAAGGCGGCUACCUGGACCGGAACUGACGCUGAGGCGCGAAAGUUAGGGGAGCGAAUG
This 207-nucleotide ribosomal RNA is filed under the name uncultured bacterium. RNAcentral's name for it is "partial 16S ribosomal RNA". It matches the Rfam family "Bacterial small subunit ribosomal RNA", at positions 568 to 774 of the family's 1533-position model. The record is from RNAcentral.